UUACCUGGCCUUGACAUACUAAGAACUUUCCAGAGAUGGAUUGGUGCCUUCGGGAACUUUAGAUACAGGUGCUGCAUGGCUGUCGUCAGCUCGUGUCGUGAGAUGUUGGGUUAAGUCCCGCAACGAGCGCAACCCUUUUCCUUAUUUGCCAGCGGGUUAAGCCGGGAACUUUAAGGAUACUGCCAGUGACAAACUGGAGGAAGGCGGGGACGACGUCAAGUCAUCAUGGCCCUUACGGCCAGGGCUACACACGUGCUACAAUGGUCGGUACAAAGGGUUGCUACCUCGCGAGAGGAUGCUAAUCUCAAAAAGCCGAUCGUAGUCCGGAUCGCAGUCUGCAACUCGACUGCGUGAAGUCGGAAUCGCUAGUAAUCGCGGAUCAGAAUGCCGCGGUGAAUACGUUCCCGGGCCUUGUACACACCGCCCGUCACACCAUGGGAGUUUGUUGCACCAGAAGUAGGUAGUCUAACCGCAAGGAGGACGCUUACCACGGUGUGGCCGAUGACUGGGGUGAAGUCGUAACAAGGUAAGCGUAGAUGA
This 540-nucleotide ribosomal RNA is filed under the name uncultured bacterium. RNAcentral describes it as "bacterial SSU rRNA". It matches the Rfam family "Bacterial small subunit ribosomal RNA", at positions 971 to 1509 of the family's 1533-position model. The record is from RNAcentral.